UGCAAAGGCUGUCCCGCAGAAGCAGCCUACCUAGAGGCAGCCUGCAGAAUGCAUUUUGGACAGACUUUGUCUUGCAUCCUGAAUGGAUGCAGGGAUGGUGGUGGUGUGUUUCAGAGAAGGACACGCUAGUCCAAAUUUAAUGGUGGUGUCUUGGAGAGCCGCACUGCUCUUUGGGGUUGAAAGUUCAGAGUCCUGACUUCUUAUUUCUGGCUCCCAGCACGUACAACUCCAUCUUCCUGACAGUUCCUUAUCCACCUGCAGUGCUGUGCUCAGGAACUGUGCUCGGAGGGAGGUCUACGAGGAAUCCAAAAGCCCUAAACCACGCCUAUAACGGGGGGUGUCUGCCACAGAAAGGAGUAUUGUUUUUUAAACCCAUUAAAUAAUUACAAGUCUAAACCACGUUCAAAAAUGUUCUUCAGAGAUGCAAAAUCCAAACUAUAAAAGUUAGGGAAGUUUUGAGAAAACACAACUUUACUUUAAGUUGCCUUGGAGUUCUUUUUUGGACAGCAUUUUCUCCAUAAUGUAGCUGUGCAUUUACAUUGGGGCACAAUCAAGAAUGGCAGCUGGUUCUGAAACAGUGAGUGGUCAGUCCCUAGAAAUUCUAGCAUAUUUCCAGGCAUUUCAAUUUCUUUUCACAGAAGCAGAAUUGCUUUUGGCUUACAAAACGUGUGUAAAUGAUAAUAGUGGUGAGAAACCAAGUCUAUUUGAGAAGGCUGUGGGUGCAGAGAGUGUUGUUAGCGCCUUGUGGUUGAUGCUUUAGAGUCCCUUUUUCCCGAGGUGACAAGGCAUCGUGGCCCAUGAGCACAAGGAGAAAGAGGCUCUUGUAAUGUCUGUACCUAAUGGCUUUCAACGUCAUUGCAGGUGGCUGUAAAGGAACUUGAUCUCCAGCACCAGGGCUGCGAGGACGUAUUGAAAGAAAUCCUGGUCAUGAGGGAAUACAAGAACCCAAAUAUUGUCACCUACCUUGAAAGCUACCUUCUGAAUGAGAUUCUCCUGCUGGUCUUGGAGUAUAUGGACGGAGGCUCUUUAGCUAAGGUGAUCCACAUGGGAACGAUGGCUGUAGGACACAUAGCAACGGUCUGCCGGGAGGUAAGGGAUCCUGCUUGUGCUUGCCAUGGCUUGGCAUGGCUUGUCCUUGGAAGGUGCUGCUAAGUGAGUGAUUCCAUGUUCAGAGCUUUCUUUCUGCAUUGCUCUUUUACGCUUCAGAGAAGCAAGAGCAUCUGGACUGAACUGCCUGCCUGUGGCCCUGCCUGUACUGCAGUCUUCUUUACACUUAUCUACUGUUGUGGAACCCUCUGUCUCUUUUGCCGUUUUAUUUUCUGUUCUGUGCUUUGCCCCUCCAAGCCUCUGCCCAGAACCUUUCUGCAUUGCCUUCUUUGCCUGUAAGUGCAAAGUGGCUGCUGUCUGAGUUUUAAACCUAUGGCAAAGCCAAAGAGAGACUCAUCUCUCACAGGUCUGGCCUUCAAAUGAUGGCAUGGCCCCCACCAUGGUGCUUGCUGCUGAAAACUGACAAAAGAGCUCCUUCUGAGUCUGCUGUCAAGGCAGCCUUAUAACCCUUGUCCUCCAGUCUCCCAGCUGACAGUGAUCCCCUUGGUACCCAAGGCAGGGACUUCUCCUCUUUUGGCAAACCGUUGCUUGUCCUCCGGAUGGGGAAAGCACAUCAGCUGCAGCAGCACUCAUUCCCACUGGCUUUGCAGGGGACAGUCUCGAGCAAGGACUGAUGUUUCCCCCUCAGCAACUAAUAUGUCUUCCCUUGGAAUGAUCGUGCUCUCCUAGAGUUGAAGCAGCAAGCUCUUCCUCUUGCCACCACUCACUGCUCCUUUGAGAUCUGUGAAUCUUCAGGAGCAGUUUCCUUUGGCAUGUGAUGCAAUCAGAUCAGGCUAACUUUUGGCUUCCCGUUUCUUUUUUCUCUCCCAGUGCCUGCAAGGCCUGGCCUUCCUUCAUGCCAACGACGUGAUCCACAGAGACAUCAAAAGUG
Long non-coding RNA from Cyanistes caeruleus (blue tit), 1978 nucleotides. The record is from Ensembl. NCBI's taxonomy places the organism in Eukaryota, Metazoa, Chordata, Aves, Passeriformes, Paridae.